CGAGCGGACAGAUGGGAGCUUGCUCCCUGAUGUUAGCGGCGGACGGGUGAGUAACACGUGGGUAACCUGCCUGUAAGACUGGGAUAACUCCGGGAAACCGGGGCUAAUACCGGAUGGUUGUUUGAACCGCAUGGUUCAGACAUAAAAGGUGGCUUCGGCUACCACUUACAGAUGGACCCGCGGCGCAUUAGCUAGUUGGUGAGGUAACGGCUCACCAAGGCAACGAUGCGUAGCCGACCUGAGAGGGUGAUCGGCCACACUGGGACUGAGACACGGCCCAGACUCCUACGGGAGGCAGCAGUAGGGAAUCUUCCGCAAUGGACGAAAGUCUGACGGAGCAACGCCGCGUGAGUGAUGAAGGUUUUCGGAUCGUAAAGCUCUGUUGUUAGGGAAGAACAAGUGCCGUUCAAAUAGGGCGGCACCUUGACGGUACCUAACCAGAAAGCCACGGCUAACUACGUGCCAGCAGCCGCGGUAAUACGUAGGUGGCAAGCGUUGUCCGGAAUUAUUGGGCGUAAAGGGCUCGCAGGCGGUUUCUUAAGUCUGAUGUGAAAGCCCCCGGCUCAACCGGGGAGGGUCAUUGGAAACUGGGGAACUUGAGUGCAGAAGAGGAGAGUGGAAUUCCACGUGUAGCGGUGAAAUGCGUAGAGAUGUGGAGGAACACCAGUGGCGAAGGCGACUCUCUGGUCUGUAACUGACGCUGAGGAGCGAAAGCGUGGGGAGCGAACAGGAUUAGAUACCCUGGUAGUCCACGCCGUAAACGAUGAGUGCUAAGUGUUUAGGGGGGUUUCCGCCCCUUAGUGGCUGCAGCUAACGCAUUAAGCACUCCGCCUGGGGGAGUACGGUCGCAAGACUGAAACUCAAAGGAAUUUGACGGGGGCCCGCACAAGCGGUGGAAGCAUGUGGGUUUAAUUCGAAGCAACGCGAAGAACCUUACCAGGUCUUGACAUCCUCUGACAAUCCUAGAAGAUAGGACGUCCCCUUCGGGGGCAGAGUGACAGGUGGGUGCAUGGUUGUCGUCAGCUCGUGUCCUGAAAUGUUUGGGUUAAGUCCCGCAACGAGCGCAACCCUUGGAUCUUAGUUGCCAGCAU
RNAcentral lists this ribosomal RNA (1091 nucleotides) under Bacillus sp. (in: firmicutes). RNAcentral's name for it is "bacterial SSU rRNA". It matches the Rfam family "Bacterial small subunit ribosomal RNA", at positions 63 to 1124 of the family's 1533-position model. The record is from RNAcentral. Lineage: Bacteria; Bacillati; Bacillota; Bacilli; Caryophanales; Bacillaceae.